CCCCUCUCAGGGUCGUACCUGGAGAGUUUCUAGUCCUCUACCAGUCUUGGCUACGGGAGGGAAAGUCAAGCAGAGGCCUAUCCAUUCCAUUCUUAGCUUGAGCAGUGGAUAGCGAGUGGACGACAAUCUGCUACAAGU
Molecule: small nucleolar RNA, 138 nt
Organism: Tachyglossus aculeatus (Australian echidna)
Lineage: Eukaryota; Metazoa; Chordata; Mammalia; Monotremata; Tachyglossidae
Source: RefSeq, a predicted model, not a curated record